This 19808-nucleotide long non-coding RNA is filed under the name Jatropha curcas. RNAcentral's name for it is "long non-coding RNA (JCUR_LNC002571)". The record is from RNAcentral. Lineage: Eukaryota; Viridiplantae; Streptophyta; Magnoliopsida; Malpighiales; Euphorbiaceae.
CUGCACCAAUCUAAAGAGAGCUCGAGUGAACUAAUUUCUGUUAUCAGUAGGGAAUUAUUGCUCAGAAUAAUCGAUGGAUAGCACUCAUAAAUUUUGAUGUCCCAUGUCCCAUGUCUAUCAAGAAAGCAACACAUUUUUCCACGACACUGAAAAAGAAAAUUCAUUUUAUUCAGUGGGAUAGCGGAGAAAAUAACAAAAUAAAUCAUAAUUCAGCUGCGCCACAAGGCCCAGUCCCACAACUCACAAGCUAGAAAAAUCUCUAAACACGCAAAUUAAUAUCUCCCGAAAUGAUAGAGAGAAAAUGAAAAGCUAAUUUAGAUAAUAAAUUGCAGAAAUAAAAUUAACUGGAAAAUAAAAAUAAAGUGGAAAGAACGGUUCAAUAAGUUAGAAUGAACAUUGCCAAAGCACUCCCAAUUUUAAUUUUUUGUUCCAAAAUUUGCUAGAAACUAUGCCGUAUAAAGAAAUGUUCUUCCACUUCUAUAAAAUAAAAUAUUUUUCCAAGAAAAGAUUCUCUUAUAAUUUUGAACUUCAACCAACAGCAACCUAACGGAAAAUUCUACUAUGCAUAGUGCAGUUCUCUACCUUCUUCUCGUUCUCAAUCCCCUUCUUUCAACCAUUGCAAUCCAAAACAGGUCGCCUUACACCCCUACGGAUCGAAUACUCCUAAAUAGCGGUGCACCAGAUGGAGAACAGUCAAUGGAUGGCCGGAACUGGGAGAGUGAUGCCGAUCAGCAGUCCAAAUACUGUCCUAUGAACUCUGAAACCUCUGCAGCUUCUAAAGCCUCCCAACAAGAUCCUUCUGUUACUCAGGUACCCUACAUGACUGCUCGAAUCAUUCGCUCUAAAUACACUUGCAUGUUUCCUGUCUCAAUGGGACCCAAGUUUAUCCGUCUUUACUUCUAUCCAAAUAGCUACUCAGGCCUCGACACAUCAACCUCCUUCUUCUCCGUCACGGCUAAUGGUUACACCCUUUUAAGUAACUUCAGUGCACAUUUAACUGUUUCUGCAAUGCAACCACCAGUUGCAUACUUGGUCAAGGAAUUUAUUAUCACUGUGCGGGAUAACCAAGGAGUUAUCAACUUAACUUUUACUCAGUCUCCAAAUUCUUUUGCUUUCAUUAAUGGCAUAGAAAUAGUUUCCAUGCCAACCAAUCUGUACACUAAAGAUAACGACUCUCCUUAUUCCUUUGUAAACGACAACAAUGUCCCCUUCUACUACUUCGACAACACCACCUCUCUUGAAACUGUUUAUCGGCUAAACAUUGGUGGUCCAAAUAUUGAGAAUGUAAACGAUACAGGAAUUUUUCGAACAUGGUCCAAUGAUUUGCUUCAUAUUUUUGGUGGUCUUGGAUAUGUGCAUCUGUGGCGCGAUGACGUCACAGUAAAAUACAGUAAGGAUACACCUACGUAUGUUGCACCGGAGGCUGUAUACAUUACCAAACGUACGAUGGGUGCAAAUUCUGUGGUAAACCAGAAUUCCAAUCUCACGUGGCUCUUUUUGGUUGAUUCUGGCUUCAAUUAUCUUCUCCGGCUCCAUUUUUGUGAAACUGAAAAAGAGAUCACUCAUGAAGGUCAAAGAGUGUUUUCCAUAUUUAUAAAUAACAUGACAGCUGAAGCAGAAGCAGAUGUGAUCCACUGGAGUGGGGGUAAUAGCAUUCCAGUCUACAAAGAUUACGUGAUUGGGGUCCCAGGAGGAGGAAGCCAAAGCAACCAGGACUUAUGGCUCGCUUUACACCCCACUGCCGAUCAUUCAACUUAUGCUGAUGUAAUCUUGAAUGUUCUAGAGAUAUUCAAGCUGAACAACUCAGACGGUAAUCUUGCUGGAUCCAACCCUGAACCGCUAAUGGUGGUUCCUCCAUCAUCACAACAACAAUCAAGCUUACAGGAGAUAACAAAGAGUAAAGGGUCAUCUGUUGUAGUUAUUGUUGGGGUUGUGAUAGGUGUAAUAUUUGCUCUUUCUGUUGCUCUAUUUUUCUUUAUCUACAAACGAAAAGGGAAAGGACCAAAAAGGAAAGCAAAUGAUACUGAUGGUUUUGGUAUAUCACUGCCAACUGAUCUUUGCCGUCGAUUUACAACGGCUGAAAUUAAAGCAGCUACAAGAAAUUUCGAAGAUCAGAACAUUAUUGGCUCUGGGGGUUUUGGUACUGUGUAUAAAGGCUAUAUUCAAAAUGAAUUCAUCCCAGUUGCAAUAAAAAGGCUAAAUUCAUCGUCAAAACAGGGGACUCGCGAGUUCCACACAGAGAUUGAGAUGUUGUCAAGGCUCAGACACAUUCAUCUCGUCUCUUUGAUUGGAUACUGCGAUGAUCAAGAUGAGAUGAUCCUUGUAUACGAGUACAUGCCGCAUGGGAGCCUUCAAGAUCAUCUAUACAGAACAAAUAACCCUCCUCUCCCAUGGAAGCAAAGACUACAAAUAUGUAUAGGAGCUGCAAAAGGGUUACAUUAUCUUCAUACAGGUGUAAAACACACCAUCAUCCACCGUGAUGUGAAGUCAUCAAACAUACUAUUGGGCAGGAAUUGGGUGGCCAAGGUUUCAGAUUUUGGCUUGUCAAAAACAGGUCCCACCAGUGAAGACGAAACCCAUGUCAGCACUGUUGUUAGAGGUAGUGUAGGCUACCUUGACCCCGAGUACUAUCGCAGGCAACACCUCACUGAGAAAUCUGAUGUCUACUCAUUUGGGGUAGUGUUGUUAGAAGUACUGUGCGCCCGGCCACCAAUCAUGUCAAACCUAAACAAAGAACAAGUGAACUUGGUUGAGUGGACAAGAAAAUGUUGUCGAAAAGGAACUCUUGAUCAGAUUAUUGACCCACAGUUGCAUGGUGAUAUCACAUCUGUCUCUUUAAACAAGUUUGUGGAGAUCGCUGAAAGUUGUGUGCGUGAAAAAGCAACUGAAAGGCCAAAAAUGUGUGAUGUGAUAUGGAGCCUUGAAUUUGCAUUGCAGCUUCAAGAAUUUGCUGAGAAAAAUUCCCAUGCAAGUGAUAUUGUCAGUGAGAACCAGAAAGAAUCAUCUAUGCCAUAUAAGGAGGUCGCUACCAUUGAUGAUGAUGAUGAUGAUAUUUACAUUCUCAGGUGGACCGAUUAGAGAUUCAAGGAGCACAAUUAGUACCGAAGAACGACUCUGAUGAAGUGAAAUCAGAUUUUUCAGAAACAAUUAAUGCGCGGGGAGAAUGAGUUAGAAAUAAACCCUAACGUAAGACGAAACUCGGAAAAUUUAUAUAGACCGGAUCCAUAAUCUCGCUCAUGGACUAAACUAACGGGAAUAAAGUUUUUUAUUUAAACGAGAGUAUUUUUUACUAUAGAUUGGAGAAAAAAAAGGAUAAAAUCAGAACAAUUUAAAAAAAAUUCUUGCUGUCAUUAGUUUGAUCCAUAACAUGGUUACAGACUCGGUCUAGACAAGUAAUUUGAGAUGUAUAAUAUGUGAUUCACUUUACUGUACUAAUGUUAUAAAAUACAUUAUCUUCAAUAUGUUCUGGUUCCAAGUAGACUUGCUCUUCGUUAUACAGUUGGGACUUUCAACUUUAUCCAUUUGGUUACCGCAAUUUUCCACACUGGCACCAGUUCUUAGCUUUUUAGUCCUUGCUAAUUAUUAUUUUAAUCAAUUUGAUGAUGUGCAAUAGUUCUCUUAUGUAUAUAGUUCGUAGUUAGCAUAACUUGGAUUCAAAUUCUUCCACCAUAAACGUGAUUUUGGUUUUAAUUUAUAUGUAUGCUUUAUGCUGGAGAUUAUCUAUAUAUUUUAAGGAAAUUACUUGUUUUAUUUAUUUUUAGUAUAUGGUUAAAAAUAGUGUCGUUUCAAUAAAAAAAUUUUAUUUUUAUUGUUUUAGUCCAUGCGAUGAGUACCUGGACCCGAUCUAGUUAAAAUUUUUUCUACAUCUUAAUAUUGACAAAUGCUUACGAGAAAUCAUUAUAAAGUCUUUCAAACUCACUUUUGGAUCUGUUCAUCCAAAAAAUCAAUUCUUAAACAUUAGUCAGACUCAUUUUACGAAACGUAAUUAUAUGCUCACUUUAGAUAGACACUUGUUUAUAAUAAACUGACAAGUUAAAUUUAUAAUAUGAAUAAAGUUUUAAACAUAAAAGACAUCAUUUUUUUUUAAAUUUAAAACGUAAAUGUAUUUUUUUAACUUUUAAUUAUUUAUUUAAUGAAAAUCUAGGGGAACAUAUAAUUGUGGUCCAUAUUUUCUUCGGUGGGCCCUGCAUACACUACCAAAUAUUUAACUUUUUUAUCACAAUUAAAAAUAAGAUUUUUUUUUUUUUUUAAACAAAAACGGGGAAUUGAAGAAUCUAAUUGGAUCCAAUAAAAUUGUAGUCCUCAGAUGACCAAACCAGGUAAGUUCAGUGGUCUAAAGGGGAUUUCCCCUAUUGCAUCCAUAUAUAAAGACGACCACAAUUUUUAGGCUUCAGCCUUCAGCCAAGCAACAAGUAUCUCAUAAAACUCCAUAAAGAGAGAAAUUUAGGCAAAAAGGCAGAACAGGUCAGCUGAAAUGAAAGGAGGGCAUAAUGCGUUGUCUUUAUCCGUUCUGCUAAUAAUUUUGAUCAUCUGCACAAAUACAUCAACGGGCAAAGUAGCAAUUUUUACCACUACAACAAUCAGUGAACCAUGGAAUUAUGGUAUCACUGAAUCCAUUGCAGAAGAAGAGCUCUUGAUGGAAUCCGGUGUGAGCCAGAGGCUUCUUCAAGCCUCUAACACGUGUACAGGAUAAUCCAUACCUAAAUAACUAACUCAACCACCUUACAGCCUGUCAACAAUCACCACACCACAGCCCAACAGCAAUAACUAACCAUUAGCCAAUCAUUGUCCAUCAUUGCUGAUUCAAUCAUUUCCAUUCAUUUAUUUCAGCAAUCUAAUCCAAUGUACAGAAUUUAUCUACCAAUUAGAUUUAGACAUUUAGCUAAAUUCUAGAUCAUUCUCUUUUUGUACAUAAAUUCACCCUGUAGUGGAACAUUAAUACUUGAGAAAUAAAAUAUAGAGCAAUAUUUUUUCUCCAAUAUUUGAAUUCAAAAGCUGUUAAACACGCCUUUGCAGCGAAAUAAAAUAUAAUAAUUGCCUUCCCAAAGCCAGGGAAAGUUCGCGCAUGUCAACUACGAUAGGUGCAGACAUUAGAUGAAUUUGACCAGAAGAAGACAUCAGCAGGUUCCAAUCAUAUAAUACCUAUUUUAUUGUUCUGAUUUAUGAAAACAUAUGCUUCUGUUUAAUUUAUGUAACUAUGCAUCAGUGUUAUUUGCAUCACUGUUAUUUAGCUACCCUAUAAUUAAAUAAGGCAAAAAUGUAACAACAAAGCUUUAGUUUAGUUUAGUUUAGUUUAGUCCCUCCUCUGUCCUUUUUUUAUUUUUUGCAAUUUUAAAGUACAAAUUUAUAAAGAAUCUGAUGGUGUAAGGAGAGAGAAGUUAUUAAAAGCUGGAUAGACAAAUUGAUUUCUUGUUACUGAAUCUAUCCAACCAAAAGCGUGAAUGCUUACACAUGCAGGACUUCAUUUAAGCAUCACUCAACCAAUUAACUUUAUACAGAAAUCUGCAAUGGCUUUGAAAAUGGAAAAACAAAAGAAAUAGGUGAAUUUCAAGCUCAUCAACUUGUAUUGAAAGAGAAAAAUGAUGAAUGGAUAUGUGAGAGAGGAGGUACUACAAUGACGACCACAACUUUUAGGCUUCAGCCAAAUAAGAGGCGCGCUGAUAUAAUUCCAUAUAGGGAGAAAUUAAGGCAAAAAAGAAAAAAAGGGAUCAGCUGAAAUGAAGAGAGGGUCUGUCGAAUUGUCUUUACCUGUUGUGCUAAUGAUACUGAUCAUCUGCAUAAAUGCUUCAACAACCAAAGCUGCAAUUUUAACCCGUAGAACAAUCAACGGAUCUUGGAAUGAUGAUAUGCCCGAAUUCAUUGCAGACGAAGAGCACAUGAUGGAAUCCAAUGUGAGCCAGAUUCGUCUUCAACAGAAUAAUUAUAUUACUUAUCCAGCAUUAAAUAAACAAGCAUUUUGCAGUGAAGGAAUUAAAUAUGGUUCUUGUCUUGGGAAGGAAAUGAAAAUUGUCAGGCCUUGUAAUGCCUACGAUCGUUGCAGAGGAGGUUCCCCAAGUUGACCAGAAGAAGACGACAUAAAUACAAAUACGGCAGGUUUAAAGCAUUCAUAUAUAGUGUGCGUGUGGAUCUGUAUUAUUCAUAAUUGUGAAUAAUAAGCCAUUGAAUUUUAAGGAAUUGUUCAUAAUUUUAAAACCUUAAACACUUACAUAUUUUCAAAUCUUAAAUUUCUAAUUUUACUGCACCAAUCUAAAGAGAGCUCGAAUGAACUAAUUUCUGUUAUCAGUAGUAAAUGGUUGCUCAAAAUAAUCGAUGGAUAGCACUCAUAAAUUUUGAUGUCCAAUGUCCCAUUUCUAUCAAGAAAGCAACACAUUUUUAAUGUCUACAAAGGAUCCAUCGAUGAUGGCGCCUUUACUGUCGCAAUCAAGCGAUUACAUUCAUCAUCAAAACAGGGAGCUCGCGAGUUCAAAACAGAAAUCCAGAUGCUUUCCAAGCUCCGUCACACGCAUCUCGUGUCUCUAAUAGGAUACUGUGAUGAUCCAGGCGAGAUGAUUCUAGUAUACGAGUUCAUGCACCGCGGGACUCUCCGUGAUCAUCUCUACAAAACCAAAAACCCUCCUCUUCCAUGGAAGCAAAGACUACAGAUCUGCAUCGGAGCUGCACAUGGACUGCAUCAUCUCCAUACAGGUGCGAAACACCCGAUCAUUCACCGCGACGUCAAGUCAACGAACAUACUGAUGGAUGAGAACUGGGUGGCUAAAGUUUCUGACUUUGGCUUGUCAAGAAUGGGUCCCACUAGCCAGUCCCAAACGCAAGUCAGCACUGUUGUCAGGGGUAGUGUUGGAUAUGUAGAUCCAGAGUAUUAUCGUAGGCAACACCUCACUGAAAAAUCUGACGUGUACUCAUUCGGAGUUGUUCUAUUGGAGGUAUUAUGUGCUAGGGCACCUGUAAUUCCAGGAUUACCCAAAGAGCAAGCGAAUUUAGCUGAUUGGGCUAGAAUCUGCUAUAGAAGAGGUGCACUCGAUCGAAUAAUGGACCCGCACUUGAGAGGUGAUGCUGAUCCUGCCUGUUUGGAGAAAUUUGGAGAGAUUGCGGAGAGCUGUUUGCGUGACAAUGGAGCACAAAGANNNNNNNNNNNNNNNNNNNNNNNNNNNNNNNNNNNNNNNNNNNNNNNNNNNNNNNNNNNNNNNNNNNNNNNNNNNNNNNNNNNNNNNNNNNNNNNNNNNNNNNNNNCGGGAAGCUGUUGUAACUACCGAUGAUGAUGAUAUAUUUAGCGUUUCAGGCGAACAAAAGUAGGACUCCAAGAGCACAGUUAGUAGUGGUGAAGGGAGUGCUGCUAAACUUGAUCCUGAUGGAUUUAAGUAAGUCUAAGUCUGUAUUUUCGGAAAUUAUGAAUCAAAUGGGAAGAUGAAAAUUGUAGUUAAAUCCAAUUGAUUUAAGCCUCUGGUAUGCUUAUUACAGUCUAUCAAAUUUUGCAUGGUUUUAGAAAGGAAUCCUGAGAGUAAAUGCUGAUGAUCUUUUUCCAAUUUGUAGUUACAAUAAGAAUGGACAAAAUUUGUUUAUACUCGACAAUGUGCUAUUAUACACAAUAAGACCUGCUCUGUUUUUUGUUUCUUAAAAAUGUUGUUUCCCGGUUACUGGGUUUUUAGUUGUUUGAAAGAAUUGCAAUUGGAUAAAUAUGGAGACUAAGAUCAUUACCGCUGCUCUAUUCUGCUAGUUUGAAUAUUUUCUNNNNNNNNNNNNNNNNNNNNNNNNNNNNNNNNNNNNNNNNNNNNNNNNNNNNNNNNNNNNNNNNNNNNNNNNNNUAUUUUCAUUAAUAUAAUUAAUAGUUUGAUAUGGACUUCUCUCCAAUGAUAUAAUUAAUCCAACUUCUUAAGAUCUGCAUUGCUCUGUUUGUGAAGGGUAUAAUUAUACUAUUUUGUUGUAAUUGUGGUUAUAGCUAUUCUAUUCACCAGGUCUUCCGCAGUGCUUUAUUUAAUUUGUAAUCAACAAGGUCUUUUUAAAAUCCAAUGGAUGACUUUCUACAUACUAGAAGUCUUCUUGCCCGACCCACUUUGUUGAUGUUACAUAUUUUGUCCAACCACAAUUAGACCUUACGGUCAGCCCCUUACUUUCUGAGCACGUACCACUUGAUUAAAUGAUGUAGUGCCAAAACUUGUCAAUAUUGAAGACCUGUUCAAGUCUUUGUUUACUCACAAAAAUGCUUUUUAAGUUAACAAUUAACAGUUCUUCAAAAGCUCUGAGAAGGACAUAGAGCUUGUGACUUCAGUAAUUUAGAUAAAAGAAAAGGGUGCGUGUGCUGGUGAUGAAUUAUAUUCUCUGAUUGAAUAAUAAAUUAUAUCUAGUUUUAUUAUGAUAAAAAAUCAAUCAUUUAUUAUAAUUUUUCUUUAAAAAAAUUAGUAGAAUUUUUUAUCACUUAAAUUUAAUUUUUAUUUAACUAUUGCGAAUACAGGAAUUGGAGAUAUAGAUCAACAUAUGCACAGUCAGGAGUGAAUUGGUAUAUUAUAUUGUCAUUAUCUCUAUAUAUUGUAUAUUUUUUCAUAUAUUUAUCAGAUAAUUAAUUAAUGGCAGUCAAUUAUUAGCUUAGUGCAAGUAUUUUUCUUAUGCCCCUAAACCUUUAUAAGUAUUUGGAACGGAAAGAAAUUAAAUUCAAAGUCCAAAACACAACAUCCAUGGGCUUCAUAAAUGUCUCAGUUUGUUCUUUGUUCUCUGUCUUUCUAAUCUUGACAAAAUUAAUUUCUCUCGCAUCUCUCUUUAUAAAUUUUCUCCCUUGCAUCACUGCUAUUAACAACUCGACGCCGUAUAAUCCAACAGAAAUCUUCCUGCUCAACUGUGGCGCAUCCUUCAACUCUACAUCACUGGAUGGAAGAAAUUGGGUUAGCGAUUUCAACUCCAAAUUUCUAGCCUCUAAUUCUCAAAACUCUUCACUUGCGUAUACAGCCUCCUAUCAAGAUCCCUCUGUAACCCAAGUGCCAUGCAUGACCGCACGUAUAUCUCAAUCCAAAUUCACCUACGUGUUUCCUGUCUCACCUGGCUCAAAAUUUGUUCGUCUCUACUUCUAUCCUGUUGCUUACUCCAAUCUUGAUAUCUCCAAAUCCUUCUUCUCCGUUGAAGCCAAUGACUACACACUUCUAAGCAACUUUAGUGCUUUUCUUAUGGUGACAGCUAUAGAGCCUCCAGUCGCUGCCAUUGUGAAAGAGUUUGUCGUUACUAUUCAGGAAAAACAGAUGCUUAACAUAACUUUUAAUCCAUCUCUGAAAUCUUUUGCCUUCAUAAAUGGUAUUGAAAUCGUUUCCAUGCCAGACAGUCUUUAUAUACACGGAAAUGAUAGCCCGCUGACAAAUGUUGGCAUUGACUAUCCCUUCUAUUUGGAUAAUACAACAGGUCUUGAGACUGUUUAUCGGUUAAAUGUUGGAGGACUGCAUAUCGACGGCUCAGGUGACACCGGAAUGUACAGGAAAUGGGUUCAAGACUCUAAUUAUAUUUUUGGUGCUGCAUUUGGAGUGGCGUCUAUUUCUAAAAUUAAAAUAAAUUAUACAAAGAGUACUCCGGCUUGGGUUGCUCCUGAAUUGGUAUAUAGUACUAUGCGUUCAAUGGGUCCUCAACCAAAAGUUAACAUUAAAUACAAUCUCACUUGGAUAUUCCCCGUUGAUACUGGAUUCAACUAUCUUGUUCGUCUCCACUUUUGUCAGACUGGAAAAGAAGUUACCGGUGCGUUUCAACUGGAAUUCUCCAUAUUCAUCAAUAAUCAAACAGCGGUAACUCAAGCAGAUGUAAUAUACUGGAGCGGUGGUAAAGGUGUUCCAGUGUACAAAGACUUCGUCAUAUGGAUUCCAGCAGGAAGCCCUAGCAAGCAGGACAUGUGACUCGAUUUACACCCAUCUGAGGAGCAUGAGUUUGCUGACGCGAUCUUGAACGGUUUGGAGAUAUUGAAGUUGAACAAUUCAGAAGGUAGUCUAGCAGGGCCAAACUCUGAACCAAUUCGAGUUCCUACAGAACCAGAUCAACAUCCAAGUUUAAAACAAAAUCGAAGGAGUAGACUAGCAUCACAGCUUUUGAUCAUUAAUGGAGCUGUCUUUGGUGGCAUAUUCUCUUUAAUUCUAUGUCUCUUAGCCUAUCAAAGAAGAAGGAAAGUUAAGGACUCUGCUACGAUCGACCACAUUUCUCUUUGGGCCCCAUUUUCGUACAAAUCUAAUAAGUCCACGACAAUUGCUUCACCAUUGCCAACAGAGCGUUGCCUUAGAUUUACAAUUCUCGAAAUCAAAGAAGCUACCAGAAAUUUUGACGAUCAAAACUUUAUAGGUUGUGGAGGAUUUGUAAUGUAUAUAAAGGAUACAUAGAUAAUGAAUCCAUCACAGUCGCUAUCAAACGGCUAGAUUCAUCAUCAAAGCAAGGGACUCGCGAAUUCACGACAGAAAUAGAGAUUUUGUCACAAGUCCGCCAUGUCAAUCUUGUAUCUUUGAUCGGAUAUUGCAUUGAUGAAGGUGAAAUGAUUCUCAUCUAUGAUUACCUUAUCAACGGCACACUUGGAGAACAUUUACAUGAAACAAACAAUGAUCCUCUUCCGUGGAAAAAAAGGCUCCACAUAUGCAUAGGGGCAGCACGCGGAUUGCAUUAUCUUCAUUCCGAGUUCACGCAUACCAUUAUCCAUCGAGACGUGAAGACAACUAAUAUUUUGCUAGACGAAAACUGGAUUGCAAAAGUUUCAGAUUUCGGAUUAUCCAAAGCAGCUUUCAAACAGGAGGUCAGUACUACUAUAGUGAAGGGAACUUGGGGUUAUUUAGAUCCAGAAUAUGCAAUAUGCCAAAUAUUAACAGAAAAAUCUGAUGUGUACUCAUUUGGUGUAGUAUUAUUUGAAGUCUUGUGUGCUCUGAAGCCGCUUGAUCGAAAUUUGGUGGAAGAACAUAUGAACUUAGCCAUCUGGGCUGAAAAAUGCAUUCAAAAUGGAAACAUUUAUCAAAUAAUUGAUCCUUAUUUGAAGGGGAAGAUAGCUCCACGGUGUUUCAAAAAAUUUGUGGAGAUCGCAUUCAGUUGCGUUCAUAGCAAAGGCAUUGAACGGCCCAAUAUGAGAGAUGUUAUGGAAGAACUUGAGUUUGCACUGAAGCUGCAAGACGAUGCAGAAGCUGAGAAUAUGGGAAUCAGUCCUGAUGGUGAAAUAGUCCAUCCUGAUGUAUCUUUUUUCCCUGCCCAAUGUGUUGAUAUUGCCGACGGACCUCAGCCAGACUCAACUUCAUCAACUGAUUUUGAUACAAGUAGUUCAACUACGGGUGUGUUUGGCUCAAGGAUUGGCUGAUAUAUUUUUUUUUGUUUUCAGCUUUUGACAAUUGUUAAUUAGCAAUUAAUGCUCUACAUAUGUUUUCAAAUAUUUGUGGUUAGAAACAUUUUCUAAGACAUUUCAAUUAUAAUACUUAUUCAUUAAACAUUAUUUUUCUUGUUUUGGGGUUAAAAGUAGAAUCAAAAUUAUUUGUAGUUUGAAGCUUUGAGUGAUUUAAAGUUCUAAAGACAGACAGGAUCAGAGAGAAGGAAAUGAAAGGCAGCCAUGGCCCCAAGCUCUAAAAAAAAUUUUCAAUUUUCCUUUAAAAUUAGAUAAAGUUUUUGAAUUUUUUUNNNNNNNNNNNNNNNNNNNNNNNNNNNNNNNNNNNNNNNNNNNNNNNNNNNNNNNNNNNNNNNNNNNNNNNNNNNNNNNNNNNNNNNNNNNNNNNNNNNNNNNNNNNNNNNNNNNNNNNNNNNNNNNNNNNNNNNNNNNNNNNNNNNNNNNNNNNNNNNNNNNNNNNNNNNNNNNNNNNNNNNNNNNNNNNNNNNNNNNNNNNNNNNNNNNNNNNNNNNNNNNNNNNNNNNNNNNNNNNNNNNNNNNNNGGAUUUACUCGUUUUGGUCCUUUUUCAGCUGUAAGCACUCUAUAUUUUCACCUAUUCAAAAGAAACAUGACAAGGAUUAUAAAAUGUGGUGCACUUGGCAAAAUGAGGUAUCAUUUAGAUGCUAUACUAUAGGAACUAUGGCCCCAAAGUGUGUGCAUAAAAUGCCCACAUCAUCUACCCCCUGAAAAGCCCAACUCUCAUUGAUUUCGGGAAAUCACAUUGGAGAACCCAACACCAUGGAAGGAUAGAUCUCAACAACCUCAAAAUUACAAAGCUAAUUUUAUGUGUAACUAUGGAGACAAGAUCCUUAUUUUAACUGUCAUAAGAGCUAUUCAUCACCGAGUAAAACUAACAAGACCCUUCUGCAUCAGAAAAACUAAUCACAUCACUUUUAGUGAUGAAACAGUUGUGGGUUCCUUACUCCAACCCAAAAUAAAAUAUUUUUGGAACUGAUAUUUCCAAUUUUUUGGGACUUUUUCUUGUCAUUUUUGGUUUAGAAGGUAUAGAAUAAAAGUAGUUAAAGAGAUUUAAUAAGUUUAUCAACGGGUAAUUGGAUUUUUUUUGUUAUCAGCAAAAUAAAAUAUUUUAUUAAUUUGUUUUUAAAUGCUGUAAAAAUUUAGCAAAUUCAAUAUGCUAAAACCCGAACUAGAAGAUUGCCCACUUACAUCCAAAUGCUGUAGUUAAACACAAAAAAUUGAUUUUUGGAUGAAAGAAAUUAUUAAUUUAAAAGUCUACAAUACAGAAAAGAGAGAAUCACCGAAAUAGUUAAACAGAAGACCAAAAAAUAACUUUGCUUGUGCCAUAAACUAAGUUAUGAUUCUUAAAAAAUGAUUACACUAAAAGUUUAAAAUAUUUUUAUUACGUAGCCUGCAGUCCACCCAUUGAACCUCCUAGUGCAUCAAAAAGUUUCAAAAUAUUUUUGAUGGGAACACAACCACUUAUGCUGUUUCCACCCCUAAAGUACAAGGAUGAAAUAAUGUAUUUAGCAAAAUCAGAGGUCCAAGUAAUUACCUAAGUCUUUUUAGAGUAAUUUUUACGCCCAUAUAUAUAAGUUAUUUUUGAGAAUACCUUUAUGUCCUAAAAUAUAAGUCGUUUUUUGGAAAUUAUUUUGUCCCAAAAUAUAACUCAUUUUAAGUAUUUUAAAAAGUAAUAAAUGAUAUUUUUCCAAUGUUAUCCCUAUAUAAUAACUAUAUAAUUAUCGGUUUUGAGAUAAAUGAUAAUUUGGUCAAAUUACUCCUAGGUUUGUUAUAAUUUUAGGAGAAUUGAUUGAUUCCUUAAUCCUUGUGCAAAAAUCCUAAACGAUUUAUAUUUUGGGACAAAAUGAGUAUUAACGAGUAAUUAAUGAAAUUCUUUUAAUUUUACCCUUAUACAUAUAUAUAACACACAUAUAUAUAUAUAUAGAUAUAUACAAUAACUUAAUCGUGUUAAUGAACUUUUUGCUAUAAUUUAAGAAAAUUUAUUGUUUACUUAAUCACUGUGUAAAAAUUUAAAAUUUGUAAAUAGUAUGAGUACUAAUUAAUAACCAAUAAUUUUCUCUGGAAAUUUUUCCCGAAAAGUUGCUUACCAUACAAUUGAUGAUUGGUUCGUUGCCAAUUUGAACUAUUCUGAUUCAGUGGUUUAAAUGAGUUUAGAAGUAUAUGCAAUUGGGUAAAUAAAAACAAAGGUAAGCAUAUAUAUAAUCAACGACACCACUGAUUUGGUCUACCGCAGGAGACCCAUGAAUGCGAAUUCAUGAAAAUUGCUUGUCCACUCCAAGUCUUUCACGUCUAUGGCAUUUACUUCUGCAUUAUUGGUAUAACAAUUAAUGCAUACACUCACCAUUGAAUUUCUAAAAUAAUGUUCUAUUUUAUUUGAUUGUUAUUACUUUUUGGAAUGUUUCAAAAUGUUUAUAAGAUUUCUAAAUUUAUAUAUUUAAAUAAUUAUUUUUUUAUAUUCAUUCAUUAAAUAAAUUUUUAUUAAUAUCUUAACGAGUUAAGAAUAAAAAAUAGCAAAAUAAUUUUUAUUAACUAAAUGAAUUUUCUGUUGAAUUUUGUUUUCUUCUAACCGGUUCAUCUCUUUCAAUAGUGAAUACAUGUUGCAAAAGUAACAUCAUGCUCUUAUUUUUAGACAUGACCAUGGUUGCAGACAGUGCUUCCACUAGAAUAAUUUUAAGUUAAUUCAACUCUCUUUUUUCUGUAUUUGUUUAACACAUAUACAUACAUUGGUGUAAAUCAAUUCAUAAAGUUCAAAUUAUUUAUAUUUUUUAUCUUUUUUUAAAAAAAUUAUACAUUAAUUUUGGAUUAAACUUUAAUACAGAAUAAUUACUAUUUAUAAAGCUAGUGAUCGAGGGGACUCGAACUUAAAACCUUUCAUUUUUCACGUAAAUAAAAAAUAACCAGAUCAUCACUUGAUUGGUUAUUUGUUUGGAUUAUUAUUGAAUUAUUUAUUGCUCAAAAUAAUAUUUUAUUGUCAUUAUCAUUGUCAUUAACAAUUCCUCAUUCAAUCAAUAUCAACAAGAAAAUAAGUAGAUAAGCAAAAGUAUAAGUUAGUGGUAAGUGUAUGAUAUGUGUUAUUUUAUAGUAUUUUUAAUAAAAAUUCACUUUCCUAAACGAAAACGAAGAUAUUCCAGAAAGUCUACAUAAAUAGAGAGACUAGCCAUAAAGACGAAAUCCAUUCAUUGUAUAUUCCAUCUUUUUUCUAUUGUUUUUCUCUCUCUCUUCAAGACUUCAAGUGCUCAAGAUUUGUGUGAAGAUUCAAGGAAGCUGUCCAGAAUUAUAUGUUGACUAGUUUUUAUCUCUAAACUCUUAAUCUUGUUUUUACUUUUCACAUUCAUAUUGAUUAUGGAAUUAUUCUCAAAUUCAAUUGAGUUUUAUUUAAUUACUAUGUCGAACUAAAUUCUCAUACUAGGAAUUUGAUGUAGCUUAAUUUCUUUUACAAUUUAUAAUAUUAAAUUUGCUUUUCUUUGUUCAAAGUAUAAUUUAUUAUUGAACUUAAUGCUUCCAGACAGAGUUUCUCCACUGAAUUGAUUUAUUUCAUUAAUCACUAUCGGGAGAAGGGUUUUUGAUAUGAAAAAGGUAAUAAAUCACAUGAGAAUAAUAACUUGAUGCGGAAGCUAUAUGGUUUGACUCAUGGGGAGUUUUCAUAAGUUAAUGACCUUAGAUUAUGAAUUCACAAAACAAACCAUAAAACUUAAUGAUUUAAUUCAUGUUUGAUUGCGCUAUUGGAAGAUAGGUAAUUAGACCGGGUUAAAAUAGCUAAAAAUAAAUCGGGAGAGCUUGUUAGUAAUUUUAGGGUUGUUUCCUCUACUUGAACAAUUAAAAUUGAUUAACAAACUAAUAAAAUAAAUUGGAUAGAAUUAAGUGAAACAAAAUAUCUAGUAGCUUUUAAUCCUUGUUUUCUUUUACUCAAAAUUGCCUUGCUUUAUUUCUUUUCAUUCUCUUUUAUUUGUUAAAGUUAAUUUCUUAAAAUAAUUUUCCUUAUUGCCGUUUAAAUAAUAGUAGGUUAAUAUAAUUUUAGUACUUGGUAUACAAUUCUCGCGGAAAUAAUACUCUACUCACUUUUUAUUAUUUGUUGUGAUUUCGCAUAUUUGCAAAAAUCACUAUCAACGUACAUAUGAGCUCGUCCAGACUUUUCCAAUGAACUUAUAGAAAGUGGAAGGAAGCUACAUAGGGACAUGUAGAGCUUCAAUUUUCGGUGCUUCCGGAUUACAUGAUUAGAAGCAUCUGCAAUAUCUUUCUGCAUUGUUUGCAACUUACAAGGUCUAUUUUUCCACUACAAUGAUAGCCAAGAAGGCUUACAAGUGGACUUAAACACAAGUUUUUGAUAUAUAAUUUUCAAAUCUUUUUAUUGAAAGCACACUUGGAUAUAUAGAUUUUGAAUACUCCCAAUCAGGAAUUUUAACCAGAAAGAGUAAUGUUUAUUGUUGCAAGCCUUAAUUGGGUUUGAGAAUGGAAAAUUAGAUGUUGAAGGUGUACGAUGCACAGCUCUAAAUUGCAACGAUGACAACCCAUUUCGUUUUGAGCAUCUCUCCAUCCAUGGCUUAUCUUGUGUUUGAUCAAAUGACAGAGAGUGAUUUUAUUUUAUUAGAAAUGAAGAGGAAGGAGAAGUCUAUGUUGGCACUAUUUUUGGUCUGUCGCUCUCCCUCGUGCAUUUGACAUUCACAUGCGCUUUGCCAGACAUACAUAGUUCUACUAAAAUUUUUUUCCUUUCUUUUUUCCCCUUUCUUUCUACUUCUUGAAUUUAAUUCAAAAUAAUUUUUAAUAAUUAUUUCUUCAAAAUAAAAUUCAAAUCUCCUCAAAAAUUCAAAUUUCCUAUACCCCCUAAACCUUUAUAAGUAGUUGGAAAAUAUGGAAAUUAAAUUCAAACAACAUUCAAAGUCCUAAAUGUUUAGUGUUUUAGUUAAAUUAAAAUUUCAUCUCUAUUAAUUCUACCAUUGGGUAAUAAAACUUUUACAGUUGCUUUUAAAGAUUAACUAAGCACUUUUUAUAAAACAUUAAAUACUCUAAUACUUAACAUUUUAUGGAGAUUAAUUGAAUAAUUUUGAUAAUUACACUCACUGUUUUUUUUCUCAAAUUCAUAUCUUAUUUCAACAAAGAUGACACGUUAAAGAAAUGACUAGCAAAUGGAUAAAACUACAAGGUUUUUUUGCCGAAGCAUUUUUGGACGUCAUCAAAGAAGAUUUCCCAAUUCCCAUAACGAAUUGCAUGCUAUAAUUGCUAUUGUUUCAGCAAUGAUUUACAAUUUGAACAAAUGUUUUGGAUUUUUUUGUCAAUAACUCAAAUAGCAAUGAACAUUUCCACUUGAAGGGAGGAGAAAGGGAAAGAGAAAACAAGUAAUUGCACAUAUAUGCCAGACGUUGAACUUACAUUGCUAAACAUAAUAAUAAUUGUUACAGAACUUCUUGGAGUCUACUUGCAUAUAAUUGGAACUAUUUUCCUCAUUUACGCACAUUUUCUCAUUCAUUUCACAUCUUUACCCCCUAUCUAUAUAUCCCCACAUAAAACUAAUACUGAAAAUUCUAAAUGCAUAAAAACUAAACUAAAUGUAUGCUAGAUUGUUCUUGAUCUAGUUCCAUUCAAUAACCAAUCACACAUUAGUGGAUUCAGGACAUAACCAUAACAAGUAAAAUUUAUAAAUUAAGUCUUAUUUUUUGCUAACACAUUCAUUUCUCCUGCAACAGUAUCCUUUGCUAUCAAAAUGUGGCUACAUAGGCCGUCUAGAACUUCAGCCAUCAAUUUCAAAUUUUGGGUAUGAACUCAAGCUUGAAAACUUCCCAGGAGGACCAGAAACAUUUGAAACCAUUCUAAAGUUUUGUUAUGGACUUCCAUUAGACUUAAAACCUAACAACAUAGCUGCACUAAGGUGUGGAGCAGAAUUCUUGGAGAUGAGUGACGAACUUGAAGAUGGAAACCUCAUUGCAAAGACAGAAGUUUUCCUCACAUUUGUAGUCCUUUCCUCAUGGAAAGAUACCAUCAUUGUUCUUAAAUCCUGUGAAACUUUAUCUCCAUGGGCAGAAAAUCUCCAGAUUGUUAGAAGAUGUUGCGAUAAAAUUGCAUGGGAAGCUUCUAGAGACAAUUCAACAAUUUUGAGCUUAUUUAACUUUUAGUUGUUCGAAUAGAUUUUCAUGAAAUGUUGAAAGUCAAACGUUACAUAAGUUAACUUUUCACAAAAUACUACUUUAACCUCUAAAAGCUAGUUCAGACAUUAUAUUACCGAACACUAUAAAAAGUUAUUGCCGAACAUAGCUCAAGAGUAGCUCAGUAACUUUUCACAAAAAGUUAUUCCAAUCCAUGUUUAGAUGAAUAGUAGAGUGUAAUUUGAUUUUUGAGGGCCGUCAGAUUAGGCUCUAACUUAUAAUCCAACGACCGUUGAAACAAAUCGAGUAUUACCAAUCCAACCAAAAAAAAGAGCCCAUUCGAAAAGAAGUUUGAGAAGGUGGGCCUUGAUUAAAAGCCCAAGAUCAUGUAGAACUGGCUGCUCAUAUGCUUUGAGUUUUGACAAGUAGUACACGAAAUACAAAUAUCUUACAACCUUUUCAAAGAAACUUAACCAAAUGAAAUUAUGCGCCUUCAUCUUUAUCUCUAAAUUUAAAUUCCACAUACAGGCCUAACAGAUAAUAUUGUCCAGAAACACAAGAAUAUUGUUAUAUGCCUUAAGACCAUGAUUUGCGGUUGAAUGGUAAAAGCUAGACCUGAAGUCAGUCAAUACAGAAGUUCCUGCUUCCAAGCCAGAUGGUUAAGUGAAGUGGACACCGCUCUGCCUAACAGAAUGGUCACAGUAAUCUAGAACCAUAACCAAAAAUUGCAAGACCAUGCUAGUAUAACAAAUAUGCUUUAAAAAAUUUAUUGAUGGUUGCUGAUCCAAUAUCUAUUUUGAAAUAUAAAAUAUUAAAAUUCAAAACUAUUCACUCUGACAAAUUUUUAAUUAUAAUUUUAUGAAGAAUUAUUUUACUAUGAUAUAUUGAGAGAUAAAUUCUCUCGUGUUUAUAGAGAAGUUAAUUUUAGUGUGGAUUGGUUCAUAAAUUAUAUUAUGAAAUUUUUUUUAUGAGAGUUCGUCAUUUUCUCUUAACUUCUCCGUGUUUGAAUGAAUGACUUUUUAUAAUAUUAAUGAGUGAUUAAACACUAACUUUUGUCUAAAGCAGGGGGCCUAAGAAUGCAACUUCAUGAAAAUUGCUUGUCAUAUUUUUUUCCACUCCGACUCAUUCAAGUCUAUGGCAUUUUCUUCUGCAUUAUUUGUACAAGAAUAGACCGGCCAUUAAAAAUUUUCCCAACUAGUCAAUUAAACAUUGAAUUUUCAAGUGAUACUCUCAUUUUUAUUAUUUCCAUUUAUAAUUUUAGAUGCGACAGCUGAAAUUAAGCUAUGUGAAGCAAAAUAAAAAAAAUAUAUAUAUUAAGAUUUUUUUUCUUAGGAGUAUUUCCAUAUCCUUUCAAUAUGAAAAUAACCUCUCUUAUCUUUAAUAUAUAUGCUUCAAACUAAAUCUACAAGGAGAUAAAUUGAAUAAUAAUGUAAAUAUCCAUAUGCGAUUGGCAUGAACAUCAAAUAUUUAACUUUUUUUCAGCCAAUUAUUUCAUAAUAUUUAUUCUUAUAUCACUUCAAAAUUUUAAUUAAAUCAAGUAAAAAUUCAUUUAAAACUAUAAGUAAAAAAAUUUUGAACUAAGAAAAAGAUUUAAAGAACGCAAUAAGCCAUUGAAUUUUAAGGAAUUGUUCAUAAUUUAAAACCUUAAACACUUACAUAUUUUCAAAUCUUAAAUUUCUAAUUUUACUGCACCAAUCUAAAGAGAGCUCGAGUGAACUAAUUUCUGUUAUCAGUAGGGAAUUAUUGCUCAGAAUAAUCGAUGGAUAGCACUCAUAAAUUUUGAUGUCUAUCAAGAAAGCAACACAUUUUUCCACGACACUGAAAAGGAAAAUUCAUUUUAUUCAGUGGGAUAGCGGAGAAAAUAACAAAAUAAAUCAUAAUUCAGCUGGGCCACAAGGCCUAAAUUUAGAUAAUAAAUUUAUGAUAGAGAGAAAAAUCUCUAAACAUGCAAAUUAAUAUCUCCCGAAAUGAUAGAGAGAAAAUGAAAAUCUAAUUUAGAUAAUAAAUUGCAGAAAUAAAAUUAACUAGAAAAUAAAAAUAAAGUGGAAAGAACGGUUCAAUACGACUGAGUCCUAAAUUUGGGAGUCAAUCCCAGUAAGGUCUUCCUUAACCCCAUUAAUAAGUUAGAAUGAAAAUUGCCGAAGCACUCCCAAUUUCAAUUUUUUGUUCCAAAAUUUGCUAGAAACUAUGCCGUAUAAAGAAAUGUUCUUCCACUUCUAUAAAAUAAAAUAUUUUUCCAAGAAAAGAUUCUCUUAUAAUUUUGAACUUCAACCAACAGCAACCUAACGGAAAAUUCUACUAUGCAUACUGCAGUUCUCUACCUUCUUCUCGUUCUCAAUCCCCUUCUUUCAACCAUUGCAAUCCAAAACAGGUCGCCUUACACCCCUACGGAUCUAAUUCU